This 253-nucleotide ribosomal RNA is filed under the name uncultured bacterium. RNAcentral describes it as "partial 16S ribosomal RNA". It matches the Rfam family "Bacterial small subunit ribosomal RNA", at positions 524 to 776 of the family's 1533-position model. The record is from RNAcentral.
UACGUAGGUGGCAAGCGUUAUCCGGAUUUAUUGGGUGUAAAGGGCGUGUAGGCGGGACUGCAAGUCAGAUGUGAAAACCACGGGCUCAACCUGUGGCCUGCAUUUGAAACUGUAGUUCUUGAGUGUCGGAGAGGCAAUCGGAAUUCCGUGUGUAGCGGUGAAAUGCGUAGAUAUACGGAGGAACACCAGUGGCGAAGGCGGAUUGCUGGACGAUAACUGACGCUGAGGCGGGAAAGCGUGGGGAGCAAACAGG